GUCUAAUACCGGAUAGGAGCGUCCACCGCAUGGUGGGUGUUGGAAAGAUUUAUCGGUUUUGGAUGGACUCCCGGCCUAUCAGCUUGUUGGUGAGGUAAUGGCUCACCAAGGCGACGACGGGUAGCCGGCCCUGAGAGGGUGACCGGCCGCACUGGGACUGAGACACGGCCCAGACUCCUACGGGAGGCAGCAGUGGGGAAUAUUGCACAAUGGGCGCAAGCCUGAUGCAGNNNCGCCGCGUGAGGGAUGACGGNNNUCGGGUUGUAANNNUCUUUCAGUAGGGAAGAAGCGAAAGUGACGGUACCUGCAGANNNNGCACCGGCUAACUACGUGNCAGCAGCCGCGGUAAUACGUAGGGUGCGAGCGUUAUCCGGAAUUAUUGGGCGUAAAGAGCUCGUAGGCGGUUUGUCGCGUCUGUCGUGAAAGUCCGGGGCUUAACCCCGGAUCUGCGGUGGGUACGGGCAGACUAGAGUGCAGUAGGGGAGACUGGAAUUCCUGGUGUAGCGGUGGAAUGCGCAGAUAUCAGGAGGA
This 531-nucleotide ribosomal RNA is filed under the name Micrococcus luteus. RNAcentral's name for it is "partial 16S ribosomal RNA". It matches the Rfam family "Bacterial small subunit ribosomal RNA", at positions 161 to 705 of the family's 1533-position model. The record is from RNAcentral. Lineage: Bacteria; Bacillati; Actinomycetota; Actinomycetes; Micrococcales; Micrococcaceae.